AGACACUAUACGAGUCAUAU
This 20-nucleotide microRNA is filed under the name Homo sapiens (human). RNAcentral describes it as "hsa-miR-3117-5p". Lineage: Eukaryota; Metazoa; Chordata; Mammalia; Primates; Hominidae. The record is from miRBase by way of RNAcentral.